RNAcentral lists this long non-coding RNA (1283 nucleotides) under Chrysemys picta bellii (western painted turtle). Its description in RNAcentral is "lncRNA (ENSCPBG00000011070.1)". The record is from RNAcentral. Lineage: Eukaryota; Metazoa; Chordata; Testudines; Emydidae.
UUUCAUUUGGGAGUUUAUUCAACUGCAUGAGGAAUUUAAAUUGGGGCUUUAUGGGGAGAAUUAAGUUCUAUUCUCUGCUCUUCUGCUGACUUGCUGUGUUACCUUGUGCCAGUCACUUACACUCAAUGUCUGUUUUGACCUUGUGAAAGGGGGAUAAUACCCACUUCACAGGGGUAUUGUGAGGUCAAAGUCACUUUGAGAUCCUUGAUCCUUGGAUAGAAAUGCAGAAUAUUGUUUACUGAAGCUCUCUAGGGGAUUCCAGUAACAUUUUGGCAUAAAUACACCUGAAGUGAGGCUAGUGUUCUCUGAUGGAAUUGGGGAAAUGUUUGUGAAAGAAACAGACAGGUAAAUACAGGGAAAGAAAUGGGUGUUUUCUCACGGAAGCCCAGCGUCUACUGAGAGAUUUGGAAGUGACACCAGUCUUUCCAUGGAGACAUAAAAGUUCACAUGUACCCCUCCAGCACCAGUAAGGCAAACCACAGAUGUUGUUUUAAAAAAUGAGCAAUCCUCCUAUACAAAGGAAUUGAGGACUCUGAGCAAAAAGCAGAGAUCUGGAAGCUAUGCAAGCUGUCAGGGCUUCUAUGCCCUCUGAAAUUCCUUGUCUAAAAUACACAAGAGAGCAGUAGAUACAACCUGUGCACGUCUGCGGAAGCACUCUAUGUAGAAGUCCAGUCUGUCAUUUUGACCGUCAGGAGGAGUCCACGCAGAAUUCUUCUUCUUGUAGUGUUGGUAGGAGGGUUCCUGUGGGUUCAGUGGAGUGUUGAAAAUAUUCCUUGAGUCGGAGACGACGAAAGUAGGCUUCCAGAUCACUGCAGAACUGUAACUCACCCAACAAUAUUGUUAAUCUAUCCAAUCACACACUCUUCUGCCGAGCUAUCUUGGGGACUCUUUUUCUGUCCCACCACCCCCAUGAACAUCCACAUUGGCCUGGAGCGGCGAACCGCGGCCUGUGGGAGCUGCGAUCGGCCAAACCUGUGGACGUGGCAGUCCCAGAGGAUGUUGAGGAUGCUUAGAGAAGUUCUACUGAAGGUGUUAGAAGAAGCCUGAUCUGUGUCCUGCGAUAUCAACUUCAUCUCCACUGAAGGAAGGAGGUCCCCAAAUACACCAAAAAGAUUGCAAGUAAAAUGAACUUUCACAGUAAAGUCUUUUAUGUGUUAUAACAGUUUGUAAAGUAAGCCCUGGUGUAUGCAAUGCUGCUGACUGUUAAUGCAACAUUGCAGUGCUGCUCCACUCUGAGAAGUGAUUCCUUGAUAAUUGCAUUGUGGGUUCUAUACUUAUUGACU